CAGUCGCCACGGUAAAACGGAGGGAGCUAGCGUUGUUCGGAAUUACUGGGCGUAAAGCGCGCGUAGGCGGUUACUCAAGUCAGAGGUGAAAGCCCAGGGCUCAACCCGAAGCCUGCACGAGAAACUGCCGGGCUUGAGUAUUGGAGAGGUGAGUGGAAUUUCCGGUGUAGCGGUGAAAUGCGUAGAUAUCGGAAGGAACACCUGUGGCGAAAGCGGCUCACUGGACAAUAACUGACGCUGAUGCACGAAAGCUAGGGGAGCAAACAGGAUUAGAUACCCGUGUAGUCCCUGUCUCUUAUAC
This 301-nucleotide ribosomal RNA is filed under the name uncultured bacterium. RNAcentral describes it as "partial 16S ribosomal RNA". It matches the Rfam family "Bacterial small subunit ribosomal RNA", at positions 509 to 807 of the family's 1533-position model. The record is from RNAcentral.